Molecule: long non-coding RNA, 516 nt
Organism: Mauremys mutica (yellowpond turtle)
Lineage: Eukaryota; Metazoa; Chordata; Testudines; Geoemydidae
Exons: 4
Source: RefSeq, a predicted model, not a curated record
GUCAAAGCAUCACUCCCUGAAGCUAAAAUAUCUGGAAGAGAGAGACGGUGAACUGGACUGUCAUCACCUGGCUACUGAGAGCACUCCCUGUCUGUGACUCUGAGUUCCUGGCCAACCUUCAGCCAUGAAGAUCCUUUUCCUGCUCUUUGCUGUUGUCUUCUUGGUGCUCCUGACUGCCCCAGGAUUCUCCCACGCUAAGAUGACCCGAAGGGAAUGUAGAAGCAGAGGUGGUGAAUGUUACCCUGACAGAUGUCCCAUGCGUUAUAGGACCAUUGGAAACUGCGUUGGUGGAGGCAGGUGCUGCCGAAGGAGAUAGAGUAUCUGAUUGCCUAUGCAGGAUUUCUGGGAAUCUGGCACACAGCCACUUGCUUCUAAAAUCAUCAGAUCCUGCUUCAAUGGAACCCUGAAGUGCUGUUCAUUUGGGCUGUAAAGAACCUUGUGAGCUGGAGAAAUUCCAGAAGGGAGCUCCUGUACCAUCCCUAUAAGAUUUGUUACUCUCUUUUUAAUAAAAGCAAG